CAUUGUCUUCACGGGGUAUAAUGCGAUAUUGAAAGCGUUAUCAUCGUGAGAGGCUAAGA
RNAcentral lists this microRNA precursor (59 nucleotides) under Pristionchus pacificus. Its description in RNAcentral is "mir-8229 microRNA precursor family". It matches the Rfam family "mir-8229 microRNA precursor family". The record is from Rfam by way of RNAcentral. Lineage: Eukaryota; Metazoa; Nematoda; Chromadorea; Rhabditida; Neodiplogasteridae.